UUUUUUUUUAAGAAAAACCAAAAAAGAUUUGUUAAAUGCUAUUACAUAAAAAAAAGGAAAUGGGCGAGAAAACAAAACCAAGGAAUAUCUGAAGGGUAGAAUGAAAGGCUUCAAAAUGUACACACAACGUGGUGCGUGGGCCUUUCCAUGAGAGAACAUUUCAUCAAUUCCAGCUAACCACAAUAAACAAUUGCGAAACAGCAA
This 204-nucleotide unclassified non-coding RNA is filed under the name Hevea brasiliensis (rubber tree). Lineage: Eukaryota; Viridiplantae; Streptophyta; Magnoliopsida; Malpighiales; Euphorbiaceae. The record is from RNAcentral.